Molecule: small nuclear RNA, 104 nt
Organism: Suricata suricatta (meerkat)
Lineage: Eukaryota; Metazoa; Chordata; Mammalia; Carnivora; Herpestidae
Source: Ensembl
GUGCUCUCUUCAGUAGCACAGAGACUAAAAAUGAAGCAAUACAAAGAUUAACAUGGCCCCCGUACAAGGGUGACCCACACAUCUGUAAAGUGUCCCAUAAAAAA